GCGGGCGUGGCGGAAUUGGCAGACGCGCCAGACUUAGGAUCUGGUGGGCAACCCCCAUGAAGGUUCGAACCCUUUCGCCCGCACCA
Molecule: transfer RNA, 86 nt
Filed under: Coriobacteriales bacterium
Lineage: Bacteria; Bacillati; Actinomycetota; Coriobacteriia; Coriobacteriales
Description: tRNA-Leu
Rfam family: tRNA
About the family: Transfer RNA (tRNA) molecules are approximately 80 nucleotides in length. Their secondary structure includes four short double-helical elements and three loops (D, anti-codon, and T loops). Further hydrogen bonds mediate the characteristic L-shaped molecular structure. tRNAs have two regions of fundamental functional importance: the anti-codon, which is responsible for specific mRNA codon recognition, and the 3' end, to which the tRNAs corresponding amino acid is attached (by aminoacyl-tRNA synthetases). tRNAs cope with the degeneracy of the genetic code in two manners: having more than one tRNA (with a specific anti-codon) for a particular amino acid; and 'wobble' base-pairing, i.e. permitting non-standard base-pairing at the 3rd anti-codon position.
Source: RNAcentral